AAGUGUCGGCCGUUCGGGGCCGGUGAAAAGGGAAACGGGUGUGAGUCCCGUGCGGUGCCGCCGCUGUAAGCGCAUGAAGGGCAGUCUGGAUUUCACUGUUUUAUAUGAAAAAUGGGAAGAAACCAGGCACUAUUGCCGCGCAAGCCAGAAGACCUGCUUAUGU
This 163-nucleotide non-coding RNA is filed under the name human gut metagenome. The record is from RNAcentral.